CAACAGGGAUUGCCUCAGUAACGGCGAGUGAAGCGGCAACAGCUCAAAUUUUAAAGCUGGCGUCCUCGACGUCCGCGUUGUAAUUUGGAGAGGCACCUUCGGUUUGGGCGCCGGCUUAUGUUCCUUGGAACAGGACGUCACAGAGGGUGAGAAUCCCGUGCCGUCGGCUGUCCCAUUCCACGUGAAGUGUCUUCGACGAGUCGAGUUGUUUGGGAAUGCAGCUCAAAAUGGGUGGUAAAUUUCAUCUAAAGCUAAAUAUUGGUGGGAGACCGAUAGCGCACAAGUAGAGUGAUCGAAAGAUGAAAAGCACUUUGAAAAUAGAGUUAAAAAGCACGUGAAAUUGUUGAAAGGGAAGCGCUUGAGACCAGACUCGGCUUCGGACGAUCAGCCUCCCUUCUGGGCGGUGCACUCGUCUUUGGUCGGGCCAGCAUCGGUUGAGACGGCGGGACAAGGGCUUCGGGAAUGUGGCUCCUCUCGGGGAGUGUUAUAGCCCGUGGUGCAAUGCCGCCCGCCUCGACCGAGGACCGCGCUUCGGCUAGGAUGCUGGC
RNAcentral lists this ribosomal RNA (548 nucleotides) under Leucangium carthusianum. Its description in RNAcentral is "eukaryotic LSU rRNA". It matches the Rfam family "Eukaryotic large subunit ribosomal RNA", at positions 66 to 630 of the family's 3401-position model. The record is from RNAcentral. Lineage: Eukaryota; Fungi; Ascomycota; Pezizomycetes; Pezizales; Morchellaceae.